GGGGUCGUAGCUCAGUUGGUAGAGCGUCUCGUUCGCACUGAGAAGGUCAGGGGUUCGAGUCCCCUCGGCUCCACCA
Molecule: transfer RNA, 76 nt
Filed under: Limisphaera ngatamarikiensis
Lineage: Bacteria; Pseudomonadati; Verrucomicrobiota; Verrucomicrobiia; Limisphaerales; Limisphaeraceae
Also listed under: 2 other names
Description: tRNA-Ala
Rfam family: tRNA
About the family: Transfer RNA (tRNA) molecules are approximately 80 nucleotides in length. Their secondary structure includes four short double-helical elements and three loops (D, anti-codon, and T loops). Further hydrogen bonds mediate the characteristic L-shaped molecular structure. tRNAs have two regions of fundamental functional importance: the anti-codon, which is responsible for specific mRNA codon recognition, and the 3' end, to which the tRNAs corresponding amino acid is attached (by aminoacyl-tRNA synthetases). tRNAs cope with the degeneracy of the genetic code in two manners: having more than one tRNA (with a specific anti-codon) for a particular amino acid; and 'wobble' base-pairing, i.e. permitting non-standard base-pairing at the 3rd anti-codon position.
Source: RNAcentral